GACGAACGCUGGCGGCGUGCUUAACACAUGCAAGUCGAACGGAAAGGCCCUGCUUUUGUGGGGUGCUCGAGUGGCGAACGGGUGAGUAACACGUGAGUAACCUGCCCUUGACUUUGGGAUAACUUCAGGAAACUGGGGCUAAUACCGGAUAGGAGCUCCUGCUGCAUGGUGGGGGUUGGAAAGUUUCGGCGGUUGGGGAUGGACUCGCGGCUUAUCAGCUUGUUGGUGGGGUAGUGGCUUACCAAGGCUUUGACGGGUAGCCGGCCUGAGAGGGUGACCGGCCACAUUGGGACUGAGAUACGGCCCAGACUGCUACGGGAGGCAGCAGUGGGGCAUAUUGCACAAUGGGCGGAAGCCUGAUGCAGCAACGCCGCGUGCGGGAUGACGGCCUUCGGGUUGUAAACCGCUUUCGCCUGUGACGAAGCGUGAGUGCCGGUCAUGGGUAAAGAAGCACCGGCUAACUACGUG
Molecule: ribosomal RNA, 468 nt
Filed under: uncultured bacterium
Lineage: Bacteria
Description: partial 16S ribosomal RNA
Rfam family: Bacterial small subunit ribosomal RNA
Source: RNAcentral